UGCGUAGGCGGCCUGACAAGUCAGAGGUGAAAGGCUACGGCUUAACCGUAGUAAGCCUUUGAAACUGACAGGCUUGAGUGCAGGAGAGGAAAGUGGAAUUCCUAGUGUAGCGGUGAAAUGCGUAGAUAUUAGGAGGAACACCAGUGGCGAAGGCGACUUUCUGGACUGUAACUGACGCUGAGGCACGAAAGCGUGGGGAGCAAACAGGAUUAGAUACCCUGGUAGUCC
RNAcentral lists this ribosomal RNA (228 nucleotides) under uncultured bacterium. RNAcentral's name for it is "partial 16S ribosomal RNA". It matches the Rfam family "Bacterial small subunit ribosomal RNA", at positions 568 to 796 of the family's 1533-position model. The record is from RNAcentral.